UUACGGCCAUAUCGAGUUGAGACACCGACUCUCCUAGUAUCACCGAAGUUAAGCAAUAUCGAACUUGGUCAGUACCUAGAUGGGUGACCGCUUGGGAAUAUCAGGUGUUGUAUG
This is a non-coding RNA of Acanthosepion pharaonis, 114 nucleotides long. The record is from the annotation of a GenBank genome assembly. NCBI's taxonomy places the organism in Eukaryota, Metazoa, Mollusca, Cephalopoda, Sepiida, Sepiidae.